GACAGAGGAUGCAAGCGUUAUCCGGAAUGAUUGGGCGUAAAGAGCUCGUAGGUGGUUCGGUAAGUCGGAUGUGAAAUCUCCAGGCUCAACCUGGAGGGGUCAUUCGAUACUGCCGUGACUAGAGUUCGGUAGGGGAGUGUGGAAUUCCUGGUGGAGCGGUGAAAUGCGCAGAUAUCAGGAGGAACACCCGUAGCGAAGGCGGCACUCUGGGCCGAUACUGACACUGAGGAGCGAAAGCGUGGGGAGCGAACAGG
This 254-nucleotide ribosomal RNA is filed under the name uncultured bacterium. RNAcentral's name for it is "partial 16S ribosomal RNA". It matches the Rfam family "Bacterial small subunit ribosomal RNA", at positions 524 to 776 of the family's 1533-position model. The record is from RNAcentral.